GUGGGCGUAGCUCAGCGGUUAGAGCGGAGGCCUGUGGAGCCUCAGGUCGCGGGUUCAAAUCCCGUCGCCCACC
RNAcentral lists this transfer RNA (73 nucleotides) under Candidatus Parcubacteria bacterium. RNAcentral describes it as "tRNA-His". It matches the Rfam family "tRNA". From Rfam's summary of the family: Transfer RNA (tRNA) molecules are approximately 80 nucleotides in length. Their secondary structure includes four short double-helical elements and three loops (D, anti-codon, and T loops). Further hydrogen bonds mediate the characteristic L-shaped molecular structure. tRNAs have two regions of fundamental functional importance: the anti-codon, which is responsible for specific mRNA codon recognition, and the 3' end, to which the tRNAs corresponding amino acid is attached (by aminoacyl-tRNA synthetases). tRNAs cope with the degeneracy of the genetic code in two manners: having more than one tRNA (with a specific anti-codon) for a particular amino acid; and 'wobble' base-pairing, i.e. permitting non-standard base-pairing at the 3rd anti-codon position. Lineage: Bacteria; Candidatus Parcubacteria. The record is from RNAcentral.